Callorhinchus milii (elephant shark) is the source of this 325-nucleotide long non-coding RNA. RefSeq lists it as uncharacterized. The transcript is spliced from 3 exons. The record is from RefSeq and is a predicted model, not a curated record. Lineage: Eukaryota; Metazoa; Chordata; Chondrichthyes; Chimaeriformes; Callorhinchidae.
UGGACUUGAAGGCAAAAGUCAUUUUGUUGACCAGCGACUUCACUCCUCUUCCAUCACCUGAACCGUUUGGAGACUCGCCCUGCAGCCAAGGCAAACCCCAUGAGAAAGAGAACAUAUUAAAAAACAAAGUAUUCAUUAAUCAUUGGCCUUCAACAUCUAGCUUGAAGAAAGAACCAGUAAGAAUUCCAACUUAGAGCUACCUACGUUACAAAGAUAACACUGUCUGAAUCCAAGUGAAAAGCUGUGGCAAGGUGUCCAGCGUUGUACUGCUCUGCAGGUCGGCAAUCUACGACAAAAAACCGAACUCCAUCCUGCAAAAUUUUUA